This 5208-nucleotide long non-coding RNA is filed under the name Triticum aestivum (bread wheat). RNAcentral describes it as "long non-coding RNA (TAES_LNC028439)". The record is from RNAcentral. Lineage: Eukaryota; Viridiplantae; Streptophyta; Magnoliopsida; Poales; Poaceae.
UAGUUGUUGCAAUUCUAGCUCCUGUAGGCGGCUUCAUUUUGUUCACCAUCAUGAUCCUCAGCAUCUUCUUUAUAUGCAAACGAAGAACACAACGACAGAAUGAGAUGGAAGAAGAAGAAGAGUUUGGGGAGCUACAAGGUACACCAAUGAGGUUCACAUUCCAACAGCUAAAAGCAGCAACCGAGCAAUUCGCAGACAAGCUCGGGGAAGGAGGAUUUGGGUCUGUUUUCAAGGGACAAUUUGGUGAUCAAAGGAUUGCAGUGAAACGUUUGGAUCGAACUGGUCAGGGCAAAAGUGAAUUUUCAGCAGAGGUUCAGACAAUUGGCAGCAUUCAUCAUAUUCAUCUGGUGAGAUUGAUUGGUUUCUGUGCAGAGAAAUCCCAUAGGCUCUUGGUAUAUGAGUACAUGCCCAAAGGAUCCUUGGACAGAUGGAUUUAUUGUCGACAUGACAAUGAUGCCCCUCCUUUAGAUUGGAGCACGCGGUGCAAGAUUAUAACUCACAUAGCUAAGGGCCUCUCUUAUCUUCAUGAGGAGUGCACAAAAAGAAUUGCUCAUUUGGAUGUCAAACCGCAAAAUAUUCUCUUAGAUGACAACUUCGAUGCUAAACUUUCUGAUUUUGGACUAUGCAAGCUCAUCGACAGGGAUAUGAGCCAAGUGGUUACCAGAAUGAGAGGCACACCUGGAUAUUUAGCUCCUGAAUGGUUGACAUCACAGAUCACGGAAAAGGCGGAUAUCUACAGCUUUGGCAUCGUGGUCAUGGAAAUCAUCAGUGGAAGAAAGAACCUUGACACUUCCCGGUCAGAAGAGAGCGUCCAUCUCAUCACCCUAUUGGAGGAAAAGGUGAAGAAUGAUCAGUUGGUAGAUUUGAUUGACAAUAACAGUAACGACAUGCAAGCACACAAGCAAGAUGUAAUUCAGAUGAUGAUGCUUGCAAUGUGGUGCUUGCAGAUUGAUUGCAAAAAAAGGCCUAAAAUGUCCGAAGUCGUCACAGUCCUAGAAGGUGCCAUGGAUGUUGACACCAACAUAGAUUAUAACUUUGUCGCAACAGGUCGAGCUAAUUUUGGUAAUGAUGGAAGUGUGAACUCCUCAGCUCCACCUGUAGGCUCAGAUCUAUCAGGGCCCAGGUGAAAUGAGACCGUCCCGAGAAGAUAUCCAAUUAGAUUGUGAGCAGUAGAUUUUGUUACUUGGAACAAAAGCCCUGAUCUGUAGUAUUUAUUUGCUGAAAUUACUACAAUUUUAAACCCCUAUCUCGGGUUAUUUUUAUCUGCAGAAUAUCUUAAUAUUACAAAUUUUCUGUGAUCUAUACCAUACAUAAACUCAUCUUGUAUUCCUGUAUCCAGUUUUCCUCUAUAAAUGCAUAUCUGCUUCUAGUUAUCACAGUUGAAUUAAUAGCAACGAUCAUAACUAGCAAAACAAGAAAAUGAACAAAAUGAAAGUAAACUCGAUAUUUAAGGGAGUAACUAAUAAGCAUUGAUCAGUUAGUUACCACAAGUGCCUUUAAGUUCUGCACCGAUUGUACUUGGUUUUCAUGACAUAGGCAGUGCCGAACAUUAAAAAUAUGGCUUAAUUUCUACAAGGGGAAAUAUGGUUUAAUUUCCUCAAAAAGGGAAAAUAUGGCUUGAACCUAACUUUGUUGCAAUAGAAAGUAAAAUGCUACAUGUAUUUGGGAUAGCGUUGUAAUUUUGGGUUUUUGCCCUUUCUUGGGCUCGUGCAUAACCUCUUUUUCUAUCAAUACAUCUAGUUGCAAAGCUUUUGGGGUUUUCUCGAAGAUAAAAAUAUGCAAAACAUGCAUUGCCACAAGGCUUUUGCCACCCUAGUCAGCAACAAAUUAAUUUUAUCAGGUUCACCAUUAGCUAGCUUCAUUAGAUCAACCAUUAAAUAUAUUUCUGUACUAUAUAUAAAUCUCUGAUGCUGCAUGAACUAAAAUGUUACCAUUCUUGCGGUAUGAUCUCUUUCGGUAGCCAUUUCGACAUUGUAGGGAGAACCGCAGCAAACUCUAGUUUCAUUCUCAGCGAGAUACGUAGGUCCAUUGGCUGAUAGGAGUAUUGAGAAAUGCUUUGCGUACUGAUCUUGCAGGAGCCAUUUUUGUCAGCGUCCAUCACAUCCAUUCCUUUCAUGCAUCAGAUGCGCUAUCGAGUAAGCUUGAACCUGCAAGAACAGAACUACAAAAAUAACAACAAUUUGGUACUAUAAUUUAAGACAGAAGUACCCAUGAGACCCCAACAUCCUGGCAAGCUACUCGUGAUAAAGACCGAAAUAGAGGAUAGGUUAGUCUUUUUCAGACCCGGGGUACUUGAAGAUCAUCUUGAUCAAGCUGGCGUCUAUUCUCUGGGUAGCAAGGUUAAUGGUGCUAGGUUAGUCCUCCAACUUUCGAAUUCAUGCACUCAGACUAUCUCAGGAGCAAGGGCAAGCAUGUUUAGAAUUAAAACAAAUAACAAAGCUUGCCAAAUACUCGUAUUAUGGGAUAUCUUUCAGUUGUGAUAUAUAUGAGGCGGGGUAAUUCGGUAGGACAAUCUCAGCCACAUAGAUGGUAUAGCCUUGGUCAAGUCUUUGUUUAUUCCAGUAAUCCAGUUCAUUCAAUGGAGCUCUUAAUUAACCUGCUCAUGUGUUAAUGCAAUGCUUACUGCUUAGCAAUUUUAAAAUAAACCAUGGUGGUUUUCCCUUCUUGACAGUGGUACCAGGCUAAAAAAUUAACAAAACUAGAACUACAAUUAAUUUGGAAGAGACAAGGUACAUACGAGUACUCAGAAAUAGAAUUCCAACCAGCUAAUACCAGCUGCUAGAUUCAUUUCUAUCAACGGCACAACCAAAAAAGUCGUGCAACCUAAGAUUCGGCCCUACAAAAUGGGUUAAAAGUAAACAGCUAACAAUUAACAGAGAUGUUCGCAAAGAUCACAAGGUUUUCGCCCACCCUCGUUUGCACACAAACCCACAGAGUUUUGGCGAGUGAGGACGGGUCGACAAGUGAAGGAGGACUCCAGCUGCUUCCAGGCAGCUGCCAAACGCUGCCAACUUCAGCUUGUCCCCAACAACCAGGUACCUAGAUGGUUGCUGACUCAAGAUUCUGGGUCUGACUGUAGCUAAAAAUCAUAACAGCAGAUCAGGAAUGAACAAAUUAAGAUGUGCAAUCUAACGAUUUCACGAAAGGCAAACAUAAAACAAAUUCACAUUCCACAUCAGCUUCAAGAAUUUUGUUAGGCAGAAAAAUUAAUCAAACAACAGAUUAUGCACAUGUACAGAUUCCUUUUUUUUGGAAGACUCGGUACAGGUACAAAUUUGGAAGGGACUAAACAAGCAAACAAGCAAACAAGCACCGCAAGCAAGUCUGGUCCUAUCAAACAGUCAUCACUACAGAGCGUGUUAGGCUGUUUUUAUGCUGACCGUUGAAUGAUUCAACACACAGAUGCAGUCCCUGUCGGCAAUCCCCUAUCAUUCUUCCAUGCUGUUAGCUGUCACAGGAGCCCUGUUGCAAGUUUGCAACUCAAACUCUGAUUCAAGUUAACGGUGCAAGAAAAAAAUCAUAACACAAAUGGCAGUGGCGAGUACCUCUCCGGCUCUCUCUCUCCCGCCUCUCCUUCUCGUCCUCCUACUCCUCGCUGCCACCAGCGAGGCCACCAAAUUUAGUGUCAUCAACCGAUGCUCCUACACCGUGUGGCCAGCCGCUGUUCCGGUUGGUGGUGGCGUGAAGCUCGAUCCGGGGGAGACGUGGGAGAUGGACGUUCCCGCUGGCACCAUGGGCGGGCGCAUCUGGGCACGCACAGACUGCUCAUUCCAGGGCGAAGGCAACGGGUCGUGCCAAACUGGCGACUGCGGCGGCUUGCUUGCCUGUAAGGGCAAUGGUCAGCCGCCCAACACGCUGGGCGAGUUCACGCUUGGCCAAAACCAAACGAACGACUUCUUCGACAUCUCCCUCCUCGACGGCUUCAACGUGCCCAUGGAGUUACUGCCGGUGCAGGUUCAGGGAAGGUCAGGGUGCGGCAAGGGGCUGCGCUGCGCAGCCAACAUCACAUCACAGUGCCCGGGCGACCUGAAGGCUCCGGGGGGUUGUAACAAUGCGUGCACAGUGUUCAAGCAGGACAUGUACUGCUUUAAUGGAAGCAAGACAAGCAACCCCACAAAUUACUCGAAAUUCUUUAAAUGGAUGUGCCCAGAUGCCUACAGCUACCCUGACGAUGGUUUCACCAGAACUUUCAAUUGCCCGUCAGGUACCAACUACCAGGUCAUCUUUUGUCCCCUUUUUAAUCAAGCACUAUCGCCGACCCAGGUAACACCUCCGACACCAAGUACUCUGCCUGCAGCUACCGGGCCAACAAGCAUGAAACCGAAAUCCUCUGCUACAAGAAGAAUUGUUGCAAUUCUAGCUCCUGUAGGCGGCUUCAUUUUGCUCACCAUCGUGUUCCUCAUCAUCUUCUUUAUAUGUAAACGAAGAACACAACGACAACAUGGGAUGGAAGAAGAGGAAGAGUUUGGGGAGCUACAAGGAACACCAAUGAGGUUCACAUUUCAACAGCUAAAAGCAGCAACCGAGCAAUUCACAGACAAGCUUGGGGAAGGAGGAUUUGGGUCUGUUUUCAAGGGACAAUUUGGUGAUCAAAGGAUUGCAGUGAAACGUUUGGAUCGAACUGGUCAGGGCAAAAGUGAAUUUUCGGCAGAGGUUCAGACAAUUGGCAGCAUUCAUCAUAUUCAUCUGGUGAGAUUGAUUGGUUUCUGUGCAGAGAAAUCCCAUAGGCUCUUGGUAUAUGAGUACAUGCCCAAAGGAUCCUUGGACAGAUGGAUUUAUUGUCGACAUGACAAUGAUGCCCCUCCUUUAGAUUGGAGCACGCGGUGCAAGAUUAUAACUCACAUAGCUAAGGGCCUCUCUUAUCUUCAUGAGGAGUGCACAAAAAGAAUUGCUCAUUUGGAUGUCAAACCGCAAAAUAUUCUCUUAGAUGACAACUUUGAUGCUAAACUUUCUGAUUUUGGACUAUGCAAGCUCAUCGACAGGGAUAUGAGCCAAGUGGUUACCAGAAUGAGAGGCACACCUGGAUAUUUAGCUCCUGAAUGGUUGACAUCACAGAUCACGGAAAAGGCGGAUAUCUACAGCUUUGGCAUCGUGGUCAUGGAAAUCAUCAGUGGAAGAAAGAACCUUGACACUUCCCGGUCAGAAGAGAGCGUCCAUCUCAUCACCCUAUUGGAGGAAAAGGUGAAGAAUGAUCAGUUGGUAGAUUUG